This 500-nucleotide ribosomal RNA is filed under the name uncultured bacterium. RNAcentral describes it as "bacterial SSU rRNA". It matches the Rfam family "Bacterial small subunit ribosomal RNA", at positions 903 to 1397 of the family's 1533-position model. The record is from RNAcentral.
AAAUGAAUUGACGGGGGCCCGCACAAGCGGUGGAGCAUGUGGUUUAAUUCGACGCAACGCGAAGAACCUUACCAGGGUUUGACAUCCUCUGACAGCAUAUGAAAGUAUGUUUUCCGGUUUAGGCCGGACAGAGAGACAGGUGGUGCAUGGUUGUCGUCAGCUCGUGUCGUGAGAUGUUGGGUUAAGUCCCGCAACGAGCGCAACCCUUACGUUUAGUUGCUAACAUGUAAAGAUGAGCACUCUAAAGGAACUGCCGUUGACAAAACGGAGGAAGGUGGGGACGACGUCAAAUCAUCAUGCCCCUUAUGUCCUGGGCUACACACGUGCUACAAUGGCCGGUACAAAGGGAAGCGAAGCCGCGAGGUGGAGCAAAUCCAAUAAAAGCCGGUCUCAGUUCGGAUUGCAGGCUGCAAUUCGCCUGCAUGAAGCCGGAAUCGCUAGUAAUCGCAGGUCAGCAUACUGCGGUGAAUACGUUCCCGGGCCUUGUACACACCGCCCGU